Molecule: non-coding RNA, 148 nt
Organism: Papio anubis (olive baboon)
Lineage: Eukaryota; Metazoa; Chordata; Mammalia; Primates; Cercopithecidae
Source: Rfam
GCUGGGUAUGGUGGCAUAUGCCUGUAGUCCCAGCUACUCAGGAGGCUGAGGUUGGAGGAUCGCUGGAGCCCAGGAGGUCGAGGCUGCAGUGAGCCGAGAUUGUGCCACUGCACUCCAGCCUGGGCAACAGAGUGAGACCUUGUCUCAA